GCGGCCCGGGAAUCUACGUCACCCGAAAAGCGACUAUAAACGCCGGCGCCUCCGUCCCCAGCCGCGGCUCGGGAAUCCACCCGAAGAGUGGCUAUAAACGUCCGCGCCUCCAUUGCGCUCUCCUCUUCACUUAGGACACUGGUCCUCCCACGCCUGACACCGACGUCGCCAGGACCGCGGGGUUGGGGGAACUUGGCUGUCCCACGUCUUUCAAAUAAAGCUGUUUUGUCUAA
Molecule: long non-coding RNA, 233 nt
Organism: Homo sapiens (human)
Lineage: Eukaryota; Metazoa; Chordata; Mammalia; Primates; Hominidae
Gene: SNHG9
Product: small nucleolar RNA host gene 9
Exons: 2
Source: RefSeq, marked provisional